AGAGUUUGAUCAUGGCUCAGAUUGAACGCUGGCGGCAGGCCUAACACAUGCAAGUCGAGCGGUAGCACAGAGAGCUUGCUCUCGGGUGACGAGCGGCGGACGGGUGAGUAAUGUCUGGGAAACUGCCUGAUGGAGGGGGAUAACUACUGGAAACGGUAGCUAAUACCGCAUAACGUCGCAAGACCAAAGUGGGGGACCUUCGGGCCUCAUGCCAUCAGAUGUGCCCAGAUGGGAUUAGCUAGUAGGUGGGGUAACGGCUCACCUAGGCGACGAUCCCUAGCUGGUCUGAGAGGAUGACCAGCCACACUGGAACUGAGACACGGUCCAGACUCCUACGGGAGGCAGCAGUGGGGAAUAUUGCACAAUGGGCGCAAGCCUGAUGCAGCCAUGCCGCGUGUGUGAAGAAGGCCUUCGGGUUGUAAAGCACUUUCAGCGGGGAGGAAGGCGUUAAGGUUAAUAACCUGUCGAUUGACGUUACCCGCAGAAGAAGCACCGGCUAACUCCGUGCCAGCAGCCGCGGUAAUACGGAGGGUGCAAGCGUUAAUCGGAAUUACUGGGCGUAAAGCGCACGCAGGCGGUCUGUCAAGUCGGAUGUGAAAUCCCCGGGCUCAACCUGGGAACUGCAUUCGAAACUGGCAGGCUAGAGUCUUGUAGAGGGGGGUAGAAUUCCAGGUGUAGCGGUGAAAUGCGUAGAGAUCUGGAGGAAUACCGGUGGCGAAGGCGGCCCCCUGGACAAAGACUGACGCUCAGGUGCGAAAGCGUGGGGAGCAAACAGGAUUAGAUACCCUGGUAGUCCACGCCGUAAACGAUGUCGAUUUGGAGGUUGUGCCCUUGAGGCGUGGCUUCCGGAGCUAACGCGUUAAAUCGACCGCCUGGGGAGUACGGCCGCAAGGUUAAAACUCAAAUGAAUUGACGGGGGCCCGCACAAGCGGUGGAGCAUGUGGUUUAAUUCGAUGCAACGCGAAGAACCUUACCUGGUCUUGACAUCCACAGAACUUUCCAGAGAUGGAUUGGUGCCUUCGGGAACUGUGAGACAGGUGCUGCAUGGCUGUCGUCAGCUCGUGUUGUGAAAUGUUGGGUUAAGUCCCGCAACGAGCGCAACCCUUAUCCUUUGUUGCCAGCGGUCCGGCCGGGAACUCAAAGGAGACUGCCAGUGAUAAACUGGAGGAAGGUGGGGAUGACGUCAAGUCAUCAUGGCCCUUACGACCAGGGCUACACACGUGCUACAAUGGCAUAUACAAAGAGAAGCGACCUCGCGAGAGCAAGCGGACCUCAUAAAGUAUGUCGUAGUCCGGAUUGGAGUCUGCAACUCGACUCCAUGAAGUCGGAAUCGCUAGUAAUCGUAGAUCAGAAUGCUACGGUGAAUACGUUCCCGGGCCUUGUACACACCGCCCGUCACACCAUGGGAGUGGGUUGCAAAAGAAGUAGGUAGCUUAACCUUCGGGAGGGCGCUUACCACUUUGUGAUUCAUGACUGGGGUGAAGUCGUAACAAGGUAACCGUAGGGGAACCUGCGGUUG
Molecule: ribosomal RNA, 1519 nt
Filed under: Klebsiella pneumoniae subsp. pneumoniae
Lineage: Bacteria; Pseudomonadati; Pseudomonadota; Gammaproteobacteria; Enterobacterales; Enterobacteriaceae
Description: bacterial SSU rRNA
Rfam family: Bacterial small subunit ribosomal RNA
Source: RNAcentral